GUCACACUCCUGCAAUAUAAACUUUUAAAUGGCAAGUAACAAUAAUAUAAUUUAUUACGGUGAAAUGUUUACACUACCAACCAUAAUUUUGGCCUAUUUAUAUAAUACUGACCAUAAACAAGGAUUAGAUACCCUUCUAUACAGUACACACACUACUUGCUGAGCACUAGGGCCUCAAAGGUUAAAACUCAAAUAACAUGGCGGUAACCUUCUCUUAGGGGAACUUGCCCAAUAAAUGAUAACCACCAAGGUUAACCAAUUUUAUAUAAUUCUUGUAUGCCGUCGUCGUCAGAUAACACUUAAUGUAUUAUCAAAACCAUUUAGUGUAAAAGCCAGAUCAAGGUGCAGACCAUUAUAAAGCUUAAGGUGAGUUACAAUUAAAAAAUUAUGCAGAAAGUAUAGAAGUACUACAUACUUAAGGCGGACUUAAUAGUAAUAUAAAUUUUUUAUAGUAUAUGAAAUUAACAAAAGGUUGUGCACAA
Molecule: ribosomal RNA, 482 nt
Filed under: Jacksonena delicata
Lineage: Eukaryota; Metazoa; Mollusca; Gastropoda; Stylommatophora; Camaenidae
Description: partial 12S ribosomal RNA
Source: RNAcentral